Molecule: ribosomal RNA, 301 nt
Filed under: uncultured bacterium
Lineage: Bacteria
Description: partial 16S ribosomal RNA
Rfam family: Bacterial small subunit ribosomal RNA
Source: RNAcentral
CAGCAGCCGCGGGAAUACGAAGGGGGCUAGCGCUGCUCGGAAUGACUGGGCGUAAAGGGCGCGUAGGCGGCGAUCAAAGUCAGGCGUGAAAUUCCUGGGCUCAACCUGGGGGCUGCGCUUGAUACUUGGUUGCUUGAGUGGGGAAGAGGGUCGUGGAAUUCCCAGUGUAGAGGUGAAAUUCGUAGAUAUUGGGAAGAACACCGGCGGCGAAGGCGGCGACCUGGUCCUUGACUGACGCUGAGGCGCGAAAGCGUGGGGAGCAAACAGGAUUAGAUACCCCAGUAGUCCCUGUCUCUUAUAC